This 253-nucleotide ribosomal RNA is filed under the name uncultured bacterium. RNAcentral's name for it is "partial 16S ribosomal RNA". It matches the Rfam family "Bacterial small subunit ribosomal RNA", at positions 524 to 776 of the family's 1533-position model. The record is from RNAcentral.
UACGGAGGGUGCAAGCGUUAAUCGGAAUUACUGGGCGUAAAGCGCGCGUAGGCGGUUUUUCAAGUCGGAUGUGAAAGCCCCGGGCUCAACCUGGGAACUGCAUCCGAUACUGGAAGACUAGAAUGCGGGAGAGGGAGGUAGAAUUCCAUGUGUAGCAGUGAAAUGCGUAGAUAUAUGGAGGAAUACCAGUGGCGAAGGCGGCCUCCUGGCUCGACAUUGACGCUGAGGUGCGAAAGCGUGGGGAGCAAACGGC